Molecule: unclassified non-coding RNA, 339 nt
Filed under: soil metagenome
Description: partial contains 5.8S ribosomal RNA, internal transcribed spacer 2, and large subunit ribosomal RNA
Rfam family: 5.8S ribosomal RNA (bases 1-120)
Source: RNAcentral
GAUGAAGAACGCAGCGAAAUGCGAUAAGUAGUGUGAAUUGCAGAAUUCAGUGAAUCAUCGAAUCUUUGAACGCACAUUGCGCCCCUUGGUAUUCCAUGGGGCAUGCCUGUUCGAGCGUCAUUUGUACCCUCAAGCUCUUCUUGGUGUUGGGUGUUUGUCUCGCGGUUCUGCGCAGACUCGCCUUAAAACAAUUGGCAGCCGGCUUGUUAGCCUGGAGCGCAGCACAUAUUGCGCCUCUUGCUAGCGACUGCCCGGCACCCAUCAAGCCCAUUUAUUUGCUCUUGACCUCGGAUCAGGUAGGGAUACCCGCUGAACUUAAGCAUAUCAAUAAGCGGAGGA